AUUGAACGCUAGCGGGAUGCUUUACACAUGCAAGUCGAACGGCAGCGCGGACUUCGGUCUGGCGGCGAGUGGCGAACGGGUGAGUAAUGUAUCGGAACGUGCCCAGUAGCGGGGGAUAACUACGCGAAAGCGUAGCUAAUACCGCAUACGCCCUACGGGGGAAAGCAGGGGAUCGUAAGACCUUGCACUAUUGGAGCGGCCGAUAUCGGAUUAGCUAGUUGGUGAGGUAACGGCUCACCAAGGCGACGAUCCGUAGCUGGUUUGAGAGGACGACCAGCCACACUGGGACUGAGACACGGCCCAGACUCCUACGGGAGGCAGCAGUGGGGAAUUUUGGACAAUGGGGGCAACCCUGAUCCAGCCAUCCCGCGUAUGCGAUGAAGGCCUUCGGGUUGUAAAGCACUUUUGGCAGGAAAGAAACGUCGCGGGCUAAUACCCCGUGGAACUGACGGUACCUGCAGAAUAAGCACCGGCUAACUACGUG
RNAcentral lists this ribosomal RNA (484 nucleotides) under uncultured bacterium. RNAcentral describes it as "partial 16S ribosomal RNA". It matches the Rfam family "Bacterial small subunit ribosomal RNA", at positions 30 to 507 of the family's 1533-position model. The record is from RNAcentral.